RNAcentral lists this ribosomal RNA (468 nucleotides) under uncultured bacterium. RNAcentral's name for it is "partial 16S ribosomal RNA". It matches the Rfam family "Bacterial small subunit ribosomal RNA", at positions 28 to 507 of the family's 1533-position model. The record is from RNAcentral.
GACGAACGCUGGCGGCGUGCUUAACACAUGCAAGUCGAACGGAAAGGCCCUGCUUUUGUGGGGUGCUCGAGUGGCGAACGGGUGAGUAACACGUGAGUAACCUGCCCUUGACUUUGGGAUAACUUCAGGAAACUGGGGCUAAUACCGGAUAGGAGCUCCUGCUGCAUGGUGGGGGUUGGAAAGUUUCGGCGGUUGGGGAUGGACUCGCGGCUUAUCAGCUUGUUGGUGGGGUAGCGGCUUACCAAGGCUUUGACGGGUAGCCGGCCUGAGAGGGUGACCGGCCACAUUGGGACUGAGAUACGGCCCAGACUCCUACGGGAGGCGGCAGUGGGGAAUAUUGCACAAUGGGCGGAAGCCUGAUGCAGCAACGCCGCGUGCGGGAUGACGGCCUUCGGGUUGUAAACCGCUUUCGCCUGUGACGAAGCGUGAGUGACGGUAAUGGGUAAAGAAGCACCGGCUAACUACGUG